GAGUGCUGGGAACAUGAGCUGUGCACUGGUGCAGAAUAUCCUUGUUUACUGUUUAUAGACUGUUAAAUUGUACCAAGGGUUUGUGAUGAGAGAUUUUGCUGCUUUGUGUAACACUGGGUAUAAUAGAAAAGGAAAAUCUGUGAUCUUGUACCCGCCCAGUAAAUUGUUUAUGGGCCAAGUGCUCGAGCAGACAGCAGAGGAAAGUGAAUGCCAAUGUCAGAAACCAUGGUGGAGAUGCCUGAAUGUCUUGCUAUCUAAUAUGCUUAUCACCAUAGCAUCUAGGCUGCAAUGUGCAAAUAAGGCAGAACUAACUACACAGCAAGCAGAGGGUGCUGGUAUGCAACGGGGAUUGUUGCAAGAAUCCAGUCACAAGUCGAUGCUCCGUUCACUUCUGAUCCCUACUCUCCUUGCUUCUCUAAUGCACAGUGCAAACAGGAUCAAUGGCUGUAGGAGGGCUGGUACACAUUUUAACAAGUGGCGUCUUGGGUUCCUUAGAGACAUGAAGACUCUGCAUCAUUUUAUGCUCUGGGCUUCUUCUCCUGUGGAGGGUGUAGUGCUCUGCCGCUUCCCUGAUGUCAUGUCUGCCCCUUUGGCCUUGAAGCCAUCCUGCUAUGGACUCAGACACUGCGAGUCAAAUCCUGCUUGCGUCUACAUCAACGUAAACUGGGAGUUACUUCAGUGGCAUUAACCCUGAUAUAAAGGUGAUGGGACUGAGAGGAGAAUCCAGCCCACUGGAUCUAAACGCUGUGAUUUGUUCUAUGUUGUACAAGCUGCUUCUCAUGAAUAUUUCUGUGGGUUUUGGCCAUUUGCACAUGUUUCUGCAAAAGGUUGUGAUUAGGGUUUUGUGACUUUUCAAAAUUAAUUGCCACUAGCUGGGUGUCUUGCUGAACUAAAGUUCAGUAGGUUCAUUAGCUAAUUCCCUAAAGGGCUUGGUAUGCUUCUUAGACAGAUGUGCUGAUUGGUAGACGGUCAAUUUUUUCCAAUUAUUCCCUUACCUGCUGUUCAUCAACACCUCCUCUGACACGGUCUUCACUACUCCUGUGCUUUAUUUUUCCUGUUAAGGAACAACUUUGACAAAGCCUCUUGCAGCAUUUGGCCUCAGAGUGGUUGAGGACCAAUCCAUGCCCUGCUAAGUAAAAGCUCAUGGGAGAUCUACCCAGACUGGAACUGUUCGCUUCAGGAGCUUCUGACAGAGUGUUCCAGCAAGGAGCAGAAUCUGGAAUGGAGCCAGGAAUUUGACUCCCUGACCUAACUUGCAGUCAACACUGCUCAUUGGUCAUUAUUACUGUGGAGGAACAGAGCGGCCCUCCAAUCCCACAGGUAUCCAAAGAUCUGCAGAAAAAUCCCAUAUCUCUCAGGCCACCAAUCUGGGAUUGGAAAAUCCAUGCAGAGGACCCAUCCCCCUGUGUUGGUCCUUAUUUGCCUCCUCCUCUGGCAGCAUAGCUCCCUUAGGAGCCACAUUUGCAUUGCCCCUCACCCAGGAGUGUACAUACCCACCCCAUCAGAGGGGGUAGAAGGCAUGGAGUAGGUUUGCAAGGAAGUAAGGGCUGCCAGUGUCAGCAAUGGGUGAAGAAGUGCACAGGUACUGCCCUGGGAUGGCAGGGAGGGGGAUGAUACCAUAUACAGCAGCUCCAUCCCCCUUGGAACUCAUUGCUCCCAUAAAGGAGCUCCCCCCGCCUCACGGGGGAGAUGCUGCUGCUCCAGUUUCUCUCCCCGUGUUACAUAAUCACAGUCAAUCUUGGCCGUUACCUAGACCCGUUUCAUCCUUCCAGGGGCUAAACGUAGAGGGGAUGAUUCAGCUUUAAGAUUUCUACUGAUCUGUAAAAAUCCAUGUUAUGCUGGGCUUUUUAUUCCAAGCACAGAAAACUGUGUGUGGUGAUCUGUAGUGUGUUUCCCAAUGGAAGAACCACCCCCUGAGAAGGGAUUCCUCACUAAGCUGAGACCUGGCUCAUUUUGGACAAACUUGAAUCCACUUACCCCUUCCAGGGAGGUCAGAACUAAGCUCCAGUUGGGUUUGCUCUAGUGAGGAAAAGUGAGAUUCUAAAUAUUUAAUUUCUAGUGUCAUCACACAACACAUGAAAAGUGAGUGUCUGGCUUGGUGGUUGGGGGGGGGGGAGGGCUGUGGUAGGGAACCUUCCACUUCCAGUUUGUGUCCAGUCAAGGUCAGUUAAAGUCUAAAUAUAUUAAUAGAGAUAAAGAGGAAGCAGGGAUGGGAAAGAGAUCAGAGAAGCACUUGCAUGUGAGAUGGGGCGGGGGAGCUGUGUUGUGACAUUUUUGUUAAGUUAUAGGACACAUGGUAUGUAGGGACUUGUACUACUACAAAUAUGGGGCCACCUUAAGGACCCACCAUACUCAAACCAAAAGCAUGGCAGGGACUGUGGAAACAGCAGCCCGAGUUUGUUACUGUCUGUAGCAUCUGCCAUGCUGGUGAGUUAGUCCCUACAAUCACAUGCAGCAGUCUGUAAUCACAUGUGUACACAGCUAAACCAAGCCACAUAUAGGGGGCAUAAGGGAACUGAAUUCACAUCCUACAGACCUUUGGCUAUAAAACCCUAUUCUGUAAAUGCCACUAGAGCUAGUGGAGCGAGGUAGGUGGGAUGGAGGUCAGUGACCUUUCCACACAAGCCAUAGCCUGCAGAUGUUACUAAAAAGAGGCCAGGGAGGAAUAAGCAGAGGAAGAGCAAAUGCAGAAAGCAUCACACACAGAUCCUAUUUUGCAGGUGCAAUUAGAUGCCCCUC
Molecule: long non-coding RNA, 2739 nt
Organism: Mauremys reevesii (Reeves's turtle)
Lineage: Eukaryota; Metazoa; Chordata; Testudines; Geoemydidae
Exons: 2
Source: RefSeq, a predicted model, not a curated record